RNAcentral lists this ribosomal RNA (305 nucleotides) under uncultured bacterium. RNAcentral's name for it is "bacterial SSU rRNA". It matches the Rfam family "Bacterial small subunit ribosomal RNA", at positions 334 to 637 of the family's 1533-position model. The record is from RNAcentral.
GUCUCCUACGGGGCGCAGCAGUGAGGAAUAUUGGUCAAUGGGAGAGAUCCUGAACCUGCCAAGCCGCGUGAGGGAAGACGGCCCUAUGGGUUGUAAACCUCUUUUGUCGGAGAACAAAACCCGGGACGUGUCCCGGACUGCGUGUAUCCGAAGGAAAAGCAUCGGCUAACUCCGUGCCAGCAGCCGCGGUAAUACGGAGGAUGCGAGCGUUAUCCGGAUUUAUUGGGUUGAAAGGGUGCGUAGGCGGUCCGUUAAGUCAGCGGUAAAAUUGCGUGGCUCAACCCCGUCGAGCCGGUGAAACUGGG